This 202-nucleotide long non-coding RNA is filed under the name Mytilus galloprovincialis (Mediterranean mussel). The record is from RNAcentral. Lineage: Eukaryota; Metazoa; Mollusca; Bivalvia; Mytilida; Mytilidae.
UUUGACAUGCACGGAAACUGGAGUUGUAAUACAAGACUGGUACCUAUCACCCAUUGGUUGAAAUUGUGAAUUAUUUCCCUUUGAUUGAAAUUUUGAAUUAUUUCCCUUUGGUUUAAAUUGUGAAUUAUUUCCCCUAGGUUGAAAUUGUGAAUUAUUUCCCUUUGGUUAGGCCUUUAGAUUUGUAUACAAAAAAUAGACCAGA